RNAcentral lists this ribosomal RNA (253 nucleotides) under uncultured bacterium. Its description in RNAcentral is "partial 16S ribosomal RNA". It matches the Rfam family "Bacterial small subunit ribosomal RNA", at positions 524 to 776 of the family's 1533-position model. The record is from RNAcentral.
UACAGAGGGUGCGAGCGUUAAUCGGAAUUACUGGGCGUAAAGGGCGCGUAGGCGGUUUGAUGGGUGUGAUGUGAAAGCCCUGGGCUUAACCUGGGAAGUGCAUCGCAAACUAUGAAACUGGAGUAGAUGAGAGGGUGGCGGAAUUUCCGGUGUAGCGGUGAAAUGCGUAGAGAUCGGAAGGAACGUCGAUGGCGAAGGCAGCCACCUGGCAUCAUACUGACGCUGAGGCGCGAAAGCGUGGGGAGCGAACAGG